This 70-nucleotide transfer RNA is filed under the name Alosa alosa (allis shad). RNAcentral describes it as "tRNA-OTHER". It matches the Rfam family "tRNA". Rfam says of the family: Transfer RNA (tRNA) molecules are approximately 80 nucleotides in length. Their secondary structure includes four short double-helical elements and three loops (D, anti-codon, and T loops). Lineage: Eukaryota; Metazoa; Chordata; Actinopteri; Clupeiformes; Clupeidae. The record is from RNAcentral.
GCAUUGGUGGUUCAGUGGAAGAAUUCUUGCCUGCCACACGGUAAGCCUGGGUUUGAUUUCGGCCAAUGCA